UACGAAGGGGGCUAGCGUUGUUCGGAAUUACUGGGCGUAAAGCGCGCGCAGGCGGUCUUCCAAGUCAGUGGUGAAAGCCCGGAGCUCAACUCCGGAACUGCCAUUGAAACUGUAAGACUUGAGGAUGAGAGAGGUGAGUGGAAUUCCCAGUGUAGAGGUGAAAUUCGUAGAUAUUCGGAAGAACACCAGUGGCGAAGGCGACUCGCUGGACAAGUAUUGACGCUGAGGUGCGAAAGCGUGGGGAGCAAACAGG
RNAcentral lists this ribosomal RNA (253 nucleotides) under uncultured bacterium. Its description in RNAcentral is "partial 16S ribosomal RNA". It matches the Rfam family "Bacterial small subunit ribosomal RNA", at positions 524 to 776 of the family's 1533-position model. The record is from RNAcentral.